This is a long non-coding RNA of Nyctereutes procyonoides (raccoon dog), 7076 nucleotides long. RefSeq lists it as uncharacterized. Lineage: Eukaryota; Metazoa; Chordata; Mammalia; Carnivora; Canidae. The transcript has 3 exons. The record is from RefSeq and is a predicted model, not a curated record.
GGCUGCCGUCGGCUUCGACACCGUAGGAAAGACUGACACUAGCGGCCAUGACUCAUGAGGGCGGAAUAUUGCCAGGGUCACACCGCCCGGCGAACUCCGGGGAAGGUUCACUGAGGUCGGGUUUUGACCUUUGCCCCGAGCUUCCGGUCAACCCGGACGUGCCGUAAACCGCGGUCGGGGCGGAAAGCGCUGCCCGGGGGCCCUUCGGCUUUCGUCCUGGGAGCACCCGCUUCCCGAAGGGAGCGUCGCCGGAGCCGAGUCGGGGGCGUCGGGGACGUUCUGGAGCUGCCGGCGGCCCGUGGCGUAGAGGAGAGGCCGCGAGCGGGGCCCGUGGGAACGCCAGGCCCUGAGGAGCUUGCUGCCUGGGCGCUGGCCGAGAGGCGGCCGAGUGCUGGGGGCGGUGCGCUGGGCCCCCAGCGUGGAGCCGUGCGCGCGCGUGGCCCCAGCGGCCGGAGCCCUGGACGCGGGGAAGACGCCCGAGAACUAGGGGAGCGCCUGGAGCUCGAGACGGAGGCAGAGGGCGGCCCAAGGGGCCCCGAGAAGGGACAUCCCGGAGCCGAGCGUCCGUGAAACUGGUCCAGGCGUUAAAGGGCGUGACUCUGGGGUCCCGGAAUCGAGUCCCGCGUCGGGCUCCCCGCGGGGAACCUGCUUCUCCCUCUGCCUGUCUCUGCCUCUCUCCGUGUGUCUCUGGUGAGUAAAUAAAUAAAAUCUUAAAAAAAAAAUCUGUAUAAAUAAAUAAAUGUAGGAGAAUUAAAAUGAAAUGGGAAUUUAUAAUGGAAAAAGAAAAAGCAUGAGUGGGAGAAUACGUGUGGCACAUUUACACAGGCAUUUAAAAAUUAACCAUGGGGGCACGGGGAUGGCUCAGCCCUUAAGCAUCUGCUGUCUGUUCAGCUCAGACCUUGGGAUCAAGCCUGGCGUGCGGCUCUGCACCCGGCUGGAAGUAUCCCUCUGCCCUGUACCCCUAGUGCCGCCACCCCCAUCCACGUUGCCCCAUGCUCUCUCAAAUAUAUAAAAAUUUUAAAAAAUCAACCAUGAAAAAUGGGCCUGAGGAUGAAAUUUAUACAUUUCUAUUUUACAUCCGUCUUUACCAUGUGAAUUUCUUUUACUAUAUGCAUAUAUUACUUUUUUAGAAAACUAGUUUUUUUAAAACUCCAGUGAUGUGGGGCACCGGGGGUGGGGGGCCUCAGUGGUGGAGCAUCUCCCUUUGGCUCAGCUUGUGAUCCCCGGGGUCCUGGGAUCUAAUCCUGCACAUCAGGCUCCCUGCAUGGAGCCUGCUUCUCCCUCUGCCUGUGUCUCUGUCUCUCUCCGUGUGUCUCUCAUGAAUAAAUAAAAUAUUAAAAAAAUAAAUAAGGGGGAUCCCUGGGUUGCUCAGCGGUUUAGCGCCUGCCUUUGGCCCCGGGGCACGAUCCUGGAGGCCCCAGGAUUGAGUCCCACGUCGGGCUACCGGCAUGGAGCCUGCUUCUCCCUCCUCCUGUGUUUCUGCCUCUCUCUCUCUCUCUCUCUCUCUCUCUCUCUGUCUAUCAUAAAUAAAUCUUUUUUAAAAAAAUAAAUAAAUAAAAAUUAAAAAAUAAAUAAGUAAAAUUCCAGUGAUGGAUAGGCCAGAAAUUCUGAAUCAUGAACAUUUCGGUGGCAGCUAAAGCCAUAGAUUUGGAUAAACUCCAGAGAAUAGCAGAGAGCUAAGAAGAGUGCUGGUGGGGGGAGGGUGAUAUUACAGCAUUUACAGUACCUGUGGAAAGAAGAGCCCUUGGAGAAUCUGAAAAGGAACAGCCAAUGAGAAAGAAUAAAAAUUAGGCGGUGAUUCUUCUAGCAUCUGAAGGAAGAGAGUUUCAGGAGGAUCAGAGUUGUUAAGAGUGUCAGAUGUUCCCAGAAAGGCAGCUAACAAGAAAGGUACUUUGAGCUCCAGGCCUAGUUUUCCUAGAAGCUUGGCAUAGAGGUCAAAUCCAGAUCAUGAACCUUCCCCUCAUGUACCACGUAGAAUUUGAUCCCUGUGCUGAUCCACCCUUAGGCAUCACGGCCGCCAGUCCCAGUCUUUCAAGGGGCCUUGAAGGCAGGUCUGGUGCCACCGGUGUUUCCACACUGGGCAGUGCUGCCUCUCCUGUUGCUUACUAUGGCCAUGAAGCUGCAAUCAACAAAAACCUGUGUGGGAGCGCCUGGCUGGCUCAGUGGGUAGAGCAUGCAACUCGAUCUACGGGUUGUGAGUUCAAGCCCCACACUGGGUAUAAAGAUUACUUUAAAAAGUAAGUAAAAGGGCAGCCCGGGUGGCUCAGUGGUUUAGCAUCUGCCUUCCACUCAGGUCAUAAUCCUGGGGUCCUGGCAUCAGGCUCCCCCUAGGAAGCCUGCUUCUCCCCCCUGCCUAUGUCUCUGCCUCUCUGUGUCUCUCAUAAAUAAAUCUUUUUUAAAAAGUAAGUAAAAAAUAAAGUUGGAAGUGGAUUAUCUCUUUUAAAAAAAGUAUCUAAAAAGGAAGAAAGAAAAAAACCUGUGUUGCAAGAAAUGAUGAAAAUAAGGAAUUGAAAGUAACAGUAUAAGUUGGAGUUGAGAAGAGCAAGCAGUAACUAGGGAAAAAAUAAAUAAACUCAUAAAAAAAAGAAGUAAGUAGGAGUCACAUGGAUCUUCCUAAAACCACGCAGGAUGUGAGGAAGAGCUGGUUGAGAGAGGUUACUGAACAGGUGCUGAUGUCAACAACCAAGAAGGCAAAAGGGCAGUAGAGCAGUGGCAUAAGCCUCAAGGAGAAGCAAGUUUUUGCAAGAAAAUGAGAGCACAAUCGUCUGAAGAUGAGCAGCUUUUGCUUUCGAAGGUUGCAGGGAAGAGGGUUCCAUUAGAAAAAGUCAAAUUUUCUACCCCACUCAUUCCGUCCCUGAACCCACGGGAACUCUUCCUUUUUUUUUUUUUUUUUUUUUUUUUUAUUCAUGAUAGAGAGGCAGGAGACAGGCAGAAGGAGAAGCAGGCUCCAUGCAGGGAGCCCGAUGCGGGACUGGAACCCAGGACUCCAGGAUCAUGCCCUGGGCCAAAGGCAGGCGCUAAACCGCUGAGCCACCCAGGGAUUCUCGGAACUCUUCCUUUGUACAGAGCUUCUUGUACGGUCUCAUUUUCUUCACAGGAUGCUCCCUAGCUUUUCUUGGAGGAAAACUCAUCAGGACAGAGGUAGCUGUGAUCUAUGGAGGGGGGAUGUCCCCCGACCCACAAAGUCCACAAAAGAGACAGACACAGGUGCUACAAAUAUAAUCAUUUUCUUUCCCUAUUCUAUUCUGGAGUGGCUUGCCCUUCUUGCCAUUAAAGUAGUAAUCUCUACACGAGCCCACCUAUCCUUUCCAAACUUAAGCCCAACUGCAUUAAGAGGAUCAGAGAGGAGAGCUGGUGCUGAGGACUGCACACUCUAGUAGCAGGUAUCUGCUGUCCUGCAACCUUCUGGGGGGGGGGGGGAUGGGGGGACAGAUUGCUCUUCACUCAGAAUGGAAACCUAAAGGAAGGCUGGGGCUUGUCUUCAACUUAACAACUACGUUUUGCAGAUUCCAGACAUGAGACCAACUGCCUGGCCAGCUGUUCCUAAGUUAGUCAAUCCAUUCGAGGCUGCAUUUGUAGGAACGUUGUGUUCAGGGAGCCUUUAAAGUUCACUCCUUCAGCUAGAAGCCCUGAGAUUUCACAGGUGUCGAAGAGAUCAUUAUACCAGUUCAGAGCUGAGAUUUCCUGGGGUGAAACAUAAAUACUGGCUAAACCAUAGGGCCGUGUAGAGAUGGGCGCUCAGCCCAUCACAGAAAAAAAAUAUGUUUUUUUACAAUUUUGUUUAUUCAUGAGAGGCAGAGACACAGGCAGAGGGAGAAGCCGGCUCCCUGCAGGGAGCCUGAUGGGGGGACUGGAGUCCCAGGACCUCAGAGUCCCGCCCUGAGCCACAGGCCUAUGCUCCACCACUGACCCACCCGGGGGCCAGAAAAAAAUAUUUCAUACACAUUAAGGCCUUUUGUUAGCCAUAGCUAAACAAUACCCCCCCCCAACACCGUCUCUCUACAGUGAAAGCAAAAACUUUCUCUCUCACCUUAUGUUCUUUUUCUACCCUCUCCCUUGCUUCAGCUAGAAACUGCAGCCUCUGCACAAGGCUCUCAGUGCUCUUAAGUCCUCUGCCCUUGGCCCCCUUCCUGUACAUCAGCUCCUAUCCCUUCCUUGAGGCUUCAGCCGAGAAAACGUCCCCCCAACUUUCAAAUAUUGGCCCCUUUGGCUUGACCCUGAUUCCCCUCCUUUUCUGCUUCUCAAGACUAUUCCCACAGUUAUUGCUUCCUUCAGUGGGAUCUUUAACCUAACAUCCCUCAGCCACCUUAUACAUGCUCCCAUUUCUACUAUGUCCUGCCCUAUAGUUCUUUUUUUCCCCCAAAGAUUUUUUUUUAUUUAUUUGACAGUGCAUAGGAAGGGGAAGCAGCAGAGGGAGAGGGAGAGGGAGAAGCAGACUCCCCACCCAGCAGAGAGCCUGACACGGGGCUCCAUCCCAGGACCCCAGGAUCAUGACCUGAGCCGAAGGCAGAUGCUUAACCCACUGAGGGACCCAGGCGCCCUAGAGUUCUUAACUCACUAAUUGUCAGUGGUUAGAAAAGCAUUUUUUCUGAACUUAGAAAAUUUUCUCCCUUUGUCACUUCUGUUGAUGGGUCCAAUUUUUUCCCUUUGGAUCAACACAGCAUAGCUGUGGAGCAGCCCUUCAGGUAGCUACCAUGUUUCCACAAACAUUUUUUUUCCAAGUCAGUGAUCGUAGCAAUUCAAGGAAUAGUAGAUAUUUUUUUUCCAAGUCAGUGAUCGUAGCAAUUCAAGGAAUAGUAGAUAUCGUAUCUUUGUGGAUCUGAAUACUCUGUUAGGGCUGCUUGUCCCGACCAUGCUGUUCCCCAGCUCUGCCAAAAUUAAAAUCUUUUCAAAUCAGACCUUCCCUUAAAGAAGCCUGUACACUGUUGACAACCCACGGUGGCAAGUAUCCUCUUGACUCUUCCAGGGCCACUCUGAACCUGUGUCCCUGUCCCCUUUACUCUUGAACUUUAUCCUACAGCAACUUCCUGACCUGACCGUUCUCUCUAGUUCUUGGGUCCCCAUUAACUGCAAGGUGUUGCUGUUAUUUUCACCCAGGCAUCUUACGAGCUCCGAACUGCAUCUGAGCUUCAAACCUAAUUAUAAGCCCUUAGCUAGAAUUCCAAUGUCUCCUGACUCCUGAAGAGAAGAGGAAGGACCACAAUCAGUCACUGAAUCCUAAUGAUCUACCUAAAAACCUCCUUAACCCUUGCAUGUCUCCAGACGGAGACUCCUGUGCUUUGGGCCUCUUCCCUCAAGCCCUGUGGUGUCCAUGCCUGCUGCUUGUUCUCUGCCCUCCCCCUUGAUCUGUGUCCAUCCAAGCCCCUGCCCCGAGUCCUUCUACCCUUACUGUCCUGGCUUCUUCUCCCUGCUUUGUUUUUUCCAUUCCCCUGCUCUGACUUUCACCAAUAGGACUUUGGGCAAGCUCCUUAAUUUCUCUGAGCUUCUUUUCUUAUCUGUAAAAGGCAAGUAUAAUACCACCCCAUAGGUCAUUGUUUUAAUGAUUAUAUUAAAUUAACAUAUGAAGCAUUAGCAUAGGGCCGGCCCAUUGUAAGUGCUCUAUAAAUGUUACGUAAUAUUUAUGUAUUGUACUUUUCGCCAGGUUUCAGAAAUUCCUGAGGUUCUUUAUCAGUGCUCUCUGCUGCCCCCGUGGGAUGACUUUUUCUGAGUCAUUGGGUAUCCUAUAGGCCCUGCCCCAAAACAGCACUGUUAUACCAGCCUCACCAGCUACUUAGAGAAUCAGUUCUUUGGUUGGUUGGUUGUUCAAUCAAAUGAAAAUGCUUCUAUAUUCCAGCCCAUUCUCUAUCUUUUUUAAAAGCAUGUGUCAGGAAACCUAUGUGUUUCUGAAAUCAAGGCAUACUGCCUAUGACAUUCUCCUAGUUUUUUCAUCUAGUAACACUAGGGGGACACCUGAGUGGUUCAGUGCGUUAAGCAUCUGCCUUCUGCUCAGGUCAUGAUCUCAGGGUCCUGGGAUUGGGCCCUGCAUUGGGUUCCCGGCUCAGCAGGGAGUCUGCUGCUUCCUAUUCCACCUCCAUCCCCACCCCUGGCCCCACUUGUCCUCUCUCUCAUGCUCUCUCAAAUAAAUAAAUAAUUUUAAAAAGUGAGAGAAAGAGAGAUUUGGGGUACCUGGGUGACUCAGUUGGUUAAGCAUCCAACUCUUGGUUUUGGCUCAGGUUAUGAUCUCAUGGGUUGUGAGAUCGAGCCCUGCAGUGGGCUUCUUGCUCAGUGGGAGUCUGCUUGAAAGAGUCUUUCCCUCUUCCCUUCCCCCCAGUCACGUGCUCUUUCUCUCUCUAAAAAUAAAUUUUACUUAUUUUAAAGAUUUUAUUCAUGAGACAGAGAGAUAGAGAGAGAGAGGCAGAGACACAGGCAGAGGGAAAAGCAGGGUCCUCGAAGGGAGCCCGAUGUAGGACUCAAUCCUGGACCCUGGUAUCACACCCUGAGCCAAAGGCAGACACUGAACCACCUAGGCAUCCCUCUAAAAAUAAAAUUUAAAAAUAAAUUGUUUUUAAAAAAUAUGGUAACAGGGCAGCCCUGAUGGCUCAGCGGUUUAGCACCUGCCUUGGGCUUAGGGCGUGAUCCAGGAGUCCUGGGAUCAAGUUCUACGGUGGGCUCCCUGCAGGGAGCCUGCUUCUCUCUCUGCCUGUGUCUCUGCCUCUCUCUGUAUGUGUCUCAUGAAUAAAUAAAUAAAAUCUUUUUUAAAAAAAGAAAAAAAUGAAUGAUCAGGGAAAGUCUUUGAGGAGGUAGCAUAGAAACUGAGACUGAGGGAUCCCUGGGUGGCGCAGCGGUUUGGCGCCUGCCUUUGGCCCAGGGCGCGAUCCUGGAGACCCCGGAUCGAAUCCCAUGUCGGGCUCCCGGUGCAUGGAGCCUGCUUCUCCCUCUGCCUGUGUCUCUGCCUCUCUCUCUGUGUGUGUGUGACUAUCAUAAAUAAAUAAACAUUUAAAAAAAAAAAAAGAAACUGAGACUGAAAGGCCAUGAAGGGACCAGCCAUCUUGCAGAGAAUGGGGAGGAGUAUCCUAGGCUUAGGACACCUGCAAAAG